GUUUGGACUAGCGGUCAAGCGAGGGGCUGUCAUUCCUUAGGUCGUCAGUUCGAAUCCAUCUG
RNAcentral lists this transfer RNA (62 nucleotides) under uncultured Geminigera. Lineage: Eukaryota; Cryptophyceae; Pyrenomonadales; Geminigeraceae. The record is from RNAcentral.